GCGGACGUGGCGGAACCGGUAGACGCAGCGGACUUAAAAUCCGCAGGCCCUGGCCAUGGGGGUUCGAGUCCCCCCGUCCGCACCA
This 85-nucleotide transfer RNA is filed under the name Magnetospirillum sp. RNAcentral's name for it is "tRNA-Leu". It matches the Rfam family "tRNA". Rfam says of the family: Transfer RNA (tRNA) molecules are approximately 80 nucleotides in length. Their secondary structure includes four short double-helical elements and three loops (D, anti-codon, and T loops). Lineage: Bacteria; Pseudomonadati; Pseudomonadota; Alphaproteobacteria; Rhodospirillales; Rhodospirillaceae. The record is from RNAcentral.